This 440-nucleotide ribosomal RNA is filed under the name uncultured bacterium. RNAcentral's name for it is "partial 16S ribosomal RNA". It matches the Rfam family "Bacterial small subunit ribosomal RNA", at positions 338 to 795 of the family's 1533-position model. The record is from RNAcentral.
CCUACGGGGAGCAGCAGUGGGGAAUAUUGCACAAUGGGGGAAACCCUGAUGCAGCGACGCCGCGUGAGUGAAGAAGUAAUUCGUUAUGUAAAGCUCUAUCAGCAGGGGAAAAAAUGACGGUACCUGAGUAAGAAGCCCCGGCUAACUACGUGCCAGCAGCGGCGGUAAGACGUAGGGGGCCAGCGUUAUCCGGAUUUAAGGGGUGUAAAGGGAGCGUAGACGGCAGUGCAAGUCUGGAGGGAAAGGCGGGGGCUCAACCCCCGGACUGCGCUGGAAACUGUACGGCUGGAGUGCAGGAGAGGUAAGUGGAAUUCCUAGUGUAGCGGUGAAAUGCGUAGAUAUUAGGAGGAACACCAGUGGCGAAGGCGGCUUACUGGACUGUAACUGACGUUGAGGCUCGAAAGCGUGGGGAGCAAACAGGAUUAGAUACCCCUGUAGUC